GUGGGGAAUCUUGCGCAAUGGGCGAAAGCCUGACGCAGCCAUGCCGCGUGAAUGAUGAAGGUCUUAGGAUUGUAAAAUUCUUUCACCGGGGACGAUAAUGACGGUACCCGGAGAAGAAGCUCCGGCUAACUUCGUGCCAGCAGCCGCGGUAAUACGAAGGGGGCUAGCGUUGCUCGGAAUUACUGGGCGUAAAGGGCGCGUAGGCGGACAGCUUAGUCAGAGGUGAAAGCCCAGGGCUCAACCUUGGAGUUGCCUUUGAUACUGGCUGUCUUGAGUUUGGGAGAGGUGAGUGGAACUCCGAGUGUAGAGGUGAAAUUCGUAGAUAUUCGGAAGAACACCAGUGGCGAAGGCGACUCACUUGCCCUUUACUGACGCUGAGGCGCGAAAGCGUGGGGAGCAAACAGGAUUAGAUACCCGAGUAGUCC
Molecule: ribosomal RNA, 425 nt
Filed under: uncultured bacterium
Lineage: Bacteria
Description: partial 16S ribosomal RNA
Rfam family: Bacterial small subunit ribosomal RNA
Source: RNAcentral